This 824-nucleotide ribosomal RNA is filed under the name Niphargus boskovici. RNAcentral describes it as "partial 28S ribosomal RNA". It matches the Rfam family "Eukaryotic large subunit ribosomal RNA", at positions 374 to 805 of the family's 3401-position model. The record is from RNAcentral. Lineage: Eukaryota; Metazoa; Arthropoda; Malacostraca; Amphipoda; Niphargidae.
CUCUGAAGAGAGAGUCAAAGACCGUGAAACCGCUCAGAGUAUAAGCCAAUGGAGCUUGGAAGGCUUCCACAGGUGGGGUUCACCUUCGUGGUGUUCAGAAGACCUUGAGUCUCGCUCGUCAGGCGAAGCAUUUGAGUAUGCCGAUCAGUUGACGUUCAGGGGGCGGUCUGGAAGUUUCAGGCUUCGGUCGUGGGCUUCCGGCUGACCCCCAUUGAAUGGGCGUUCAGAGCUCUUGGUCUAUUGUGGUUAUGCCCACCACAGCACGUUGUGAGGUCACCCACAGGCUCAAACUGCCGAUUGCGCAUCCAGGACGAUGGCAACGAUGCGUUGUGCAUGCUUGAAGCGAGUCUUCAUUCACACGCGUGUCUAGUCCUGGGUCGGGCGGCGACCGAGAUAAACCUGGUACGAUCCUCUUGCGACGAGCUGCUUUCUGGCCAGACCGACGUCCAGGCGCUUCCACUGUGCCGGAAGCGUCAAUCCCAGGCGGUCUGAACCCAGCUGCAUUAUGCAAGGUCUCUCAGCCGGGCGUUGGUCUGAGUGGUGUUAAGUCCAGCACCAUCGGUCACGUCUCGAAACACGGGCCAAGGAGUAUAGCAUGUGUGCAAGUCUAAGGGUCUCACAAAACCCGAAGGCGAAGUGAAAGCAAGACUGUGGCGGGGGAGCUACGGCGAACCCGCCGGCCUGGUGGCGCAAAUUUAUUUGAGUCACCGGCUUAAACAGAGCUGAUCCUGAUUUCUCAAUUGAUUCUUGGUGCAGGCGCAAGCUCCGGGCUCACGUAUAACACUGGUCACUUGUGGCUGUGUUGUGAGCACCGUGGAGCAUGC